GGCAUUUUAAUCCCUUCUGAUCUCUAAGACAAAUAUAUUUUUUCAUGUAAUUACAUAAUUACUUGGCAGACCAGAACAGAUCCCACGGAGCCACUCCAGUGUGUGCCGUGUAAAUACUGUUCUGUUCUACCCCUGGUAAUUGGCCAAUAGAUCCCCCUAGGAUGUUUUGAUUCCUUAAAUAAACACUAUGUGGGCGAAGGGGGUUGUAUUUUCUCAUUGGCAGUGAAACCAGAAAGAAGAGCUUCACAUUAGGUGCUUAUUACAUCAUUUAAGAAAGAACAAACUGCUUAUGACACUAGGGCUCCCUCUGCUGGUUUAUGGAGUUAAAAAAGCACGAGUAGUAAUAAUUUUCCUGAACUAGACCCUCUUAGGAGAAAGAAGUGUAAUUUUAGAGACCCAGUGGUGUUAAACCAAAGAAAUAAGCAACAGAGAGACUUCUAAUCUUUAUUUUUCUAAAAUUGUAAGCCACCGUCCUCACCAUCUGUCUUUAGUUAUUUUACCAUUAUGUGUGUCUAUACGGUUACUUUUUGCAAUAAAAAAGAAGCUUUAGAACAAUGGUAAUUUUUCUGAACUACAACCAAAGAAAGCUUUAUAAGUCUAUCAGCUCCACUUAAGUAGUUCCAUCUAUCCAUUAGGCAGUGGGUUAUUCAUAACAGCCUUAAGUUGCCUUUACUCCAUCUAUGGGAGUGCAAAAUAAAAGAUGUAAAGACAUGAACACCUUUUUCAAACUGACCAAUUAAACCCCUGCACAUCUCAUCUUUAUGGCACUGGUGACCAUCUUUAUAUGGUCUAGGCAAAAAGUAGCUGAAAUAGAGAGAGGAUGAGAAUCAGAGAAACAUAGGCUUAAAUCCCAGAUCUGAUGAUUAAAAAUCUGUGAGGCAUUCCUCAAAUUAUUUGUCCUCUCUGUUCUCUCUUGUUCCCAUCAGUAAUUUGGUGAUAACAUUCUCAGAGCCUUUGUGAGGGUUAAAUAAAGAAAUGUAUGUAUGUAUAGUGUCUGGCAUGUAGUAGAUGCAUAUUAAUCAUAGUUAACAUAUUCCUGAGAAAUAGAAGUUUUCUGCCCCAGUGAACUGAAUGAAUAUGGAAGAAAAGUAAC
This 1093-nucleotide long non-coding RNA is filed under the name Capra hircus (goat). Its description in RNAcentral is "lncRNA (ENSCHIG00010010083.1)". The record is from RNAcentral. Lineage: Eukaryota; Metazoa; Chordata; Mammalia; Artiodactyla; Bovidae.